Molecule: transfer RNA, 70 nt
Filed under: Aspidoscelis sexlineatus viridis
Lineage: Eukaryota; Metazoa; Chordata; Lepidosauria; Squamata; Teiidae
Description: Aspidoscelis sexlineata viridis tRNA-Trp
Source: RNAcentral
AGAGAAAUAUAGGCUAUCUAUUAAACCAUGGGCCUUCAAAGCCCAAACUGUGAGACACUCACUAUUUCUG